AGUGAACGCUGGCGGUAGGCCUAACACAUGCAAGUCGAACGGCAGCACAGUAAGAGCUUGCUCUUACGGGUGGCGAGUGGCGGACGGGUGAGGAAUACAUCGGAAUCUACUUUUUCGUGGGGGAUAACGUAGGGAAACUUACGCUAAUAUCGCAUACGACCUACGGGUGAAAGCAGUGGAUCUUCGGACCUUGCGCGAUUGAAUGAGCCGAUGUCGGAUUAGCUAGUUGGCGGGGUAAAGGCCCACCAAGGCGACGAUCCGUAGCUGGUCUGAGAGGAUGAUCAGCCACACUGGAACUGAGACACGGUCCAGACUACUACGGGAGGCAGCAGUGGGGAAUAUUGGACAAUGGGCGCAAGCCUGAUCCAGCCAUACCGCGUGGGUGAAGAAGGCCUUCGGGUUGUAAAGCCCUUUUGUUGGGAAAGAAAAGCAGCAGGUUAAUACCACGCUGUUCUGACGGUACCCAAAGAAUAAGCACCGGCUAACUUCGUG
Molecule: ribosomal RNA, 492 nt
Filed under: uncultured bacterium
Lineage: Bacteria
Description: partial 16S ribosomal RNA
Rfam family: Bacterial small subunit ribosomal RNA
Source: RNAcentral